This 429-nucleotide ribosomal RNA is filed under the name Astarte borealis. RNAcentral's name for it is "partial 16S ribosomal RNA". It matches the Rfam family "Bacterial large subunit ribosomal RNA", at positions 1921 to 2597 of the family's 2925-position model. The record is from RNAcentral. Lineage: Eukaryota; Metazoa; Mollusca; Bivalvia; Carditida; Astartidae.
CGGUCGGCGAUGGAAACCGUAUCCAAGGUAAUGCAUAAAAACUUGCCCCCUAAAGGGGGGAGAGAAUGAAUGGUUUGACGGAAAAAAAGCCGGUUGUAAAAAAUAAUCUAAAGAAGUUAACUUUAAGUGAAAAGGCUUAAAGGUUGUUAUAAAAGACGAGAAGACCCCGUCGAGCCUAAAUGAGGAUAGCUUUAUUUUAAAAGAUAGCCAAAAUUUUAUUGGGGCAAUAGAAAAUGAAAAGAAUCAGGUUUUAUAGAAUAAGGAUCCAGUUUGACCGAAAAAAGCAAAACGACCGCGGGGAUAACAGGGUAAAUUUUUUUCUGAGAGUUUCAUAUUUAAGAGAAAGUUUGCCACCUCGAUGGUUGGAUUAAAAUAUUCUUUAUGCUGGCAGCAGGUAUAAUAGUAGGACUGUUCGUCCUUUAAAAUUUU